AUUGAACGCUGGCGGCAGGCUUAACACAUGCAAGUCGAACGAGUGGCGGACGGGUGAGUAAUGUCUGGGAAACUGCCUGAUGGAGGGGGAUAACUCCUGGAAACGGUAGCUAAUACCGCAUACCAUCGGAUGUGUCCAGAUGGGCUUAGCUAGUAGGUGGGGUAAAGGCUCACCUAGGCGACGAUCCCUAGCUGGUCUGAGAGGAUGACGAGCCACACUGGAAAUGAGACACAGGCCAGACGCCUACGGGAGGCAGCAGUGGGGAAUAGUGCACAGUGGGCGCAAGCCUGAUACAGCCAUGCCGCGUGUAUGAAGAAGGCCUUCGGGUUGUAAAGUACUUACAGCGGGGAGGCGUUACCCGCAGAAGAAGCACCGGCUAACUACGUGCCAGCAGCCGCGGUAAUUC
RNAcentral lists this ribosomal RNA (406 nucleotides) under uncultured bacterium. Its description in RNAcentral is "partial 16S ribosomal RNA". It matches the Rfam family "Bacterial small subunit ribosomal RNA", at positions 30 to 526 of the family's 1533-position model. The record is from RNAcentral.